AUACGUAGGGGGCGAGCGUUGUCCGGAAUUAUUGGGCGUAAAGGGCGUGUAGACGGUCAUAUAAGUUACAGGUGAAAGCCCAUUUUUCAAGGAUGGAACUGCCUGUAAGACUGUAAGACUUGAGUGCAGGAGAGGGAAGCGGAAUUCCAAGUGUAGCGGUGAAAUGCGUAGAUAUUUGGAGGAACACCAGUGGCGAAGGCGGCUUUCUGGACUGCAACUGACGUUGAGGCGCGAAAGCGUGGGGAGCGAACAGGAUUAGAUACCCUGGUAGUCCACGCUGUAAACGAUGGAUGCUAGGUGUGGGGGGUAUCGACCCCCUCCGUGCCGGAGUUAACGCAAUAAGCAUCCCGCCUGGGGAGUACGGCCGCAAGGUUGAAACUCAAAGGAAUUGACGGGG
Molecule: ribosomal RNA, 397 nt
Filed under: uncultured bacterium
Lineage: Bacteria
Description: partial 16S ribosomal RNA
Rfam family: Bacterial small subunit ribosomal RNA
Source: RNAcentral